This 155-nucleotide ribosomal RNA is filed under the name Puccinia triticina. Its description in RNAcentral is "5.8S ribosomal RNA". It matches the Rfam family "5.8S ribosomal RNA". Rfam says of the family: 5.8S ribosomal RNA (5.8S rRNA) is a component of the large subunit of the eukaryotic ribosome. The record is from RNAcentral. Lineage: Eukaryota; Fungi; Basidiomycota; Pucciniomycetes; Pucciniales; Pucciniaceae.
AACUUUUAACAAUGGAUCUCUAGGCUCUCACAUCGAUGAAAAACACAGUGAAAUGGGAUAAGUAAUGUGAAUUGCAGAAUUCAGUGAAUCAUCGAAUCUUUGAACCCAUCUUGCGCCUUUUGGUAUUCCAAAAGGCACACCUGUUUGAGUGUCAU